Molecule: long non-coding RNA, 735 nt
Organism: Harmonia axyridis
Lineage: Eukaryota; Metazoa; Arthropoda; Insecta; Coleoptera; Coccinellidae
Exons: 4
Source: RefSeq, a predicted model, not a curated record
UUUUUGCAGAUUCUUCAAUACUCAUCAGAACUAAAAUAGCCAUUGAUGUCGUACUGAAUAGGAGUAUUUGCUCCAGUAAAAAUAUAGAUAGAAGAGGAAAGUGAUAUAAGUACUUCACUUCUUGGAGUCUGCAGCUCUAGAGCGUUCAUUCAUUCAUACGCCAAUUGUGCCUUGGAUACCACAUAAUUGAAUAUAGAUUGGGAGAGGUGCUAUCAAAACAUCAUCACAUUCUUCAUGAAAGAGAAAAACGAAAAAAAAAAAACUGUGAGAGAACUUCUGGGCACUGUCAGUGAAGGAAAUUUCAGUGAAAAUGGACGAGAUGCUUCAAUUGUUUGGAGAUUACUUGCUUAUUUGUUGCCUACGAUGGAUGCCAUUACUGGACAAAACACAACCAAAUAUAGAAUUGAAGAUUCUCAGGGAUCAUUCCUGUUUAUUGGAAGGUAGAUUCAGGAAGUGGAAGAUCAUAUAGAAUAUUGGAAAAAACAAAAUGAACAACCCCAUACAGCCAUUUAAAAAAGGCAUUGCAUCGGAGAUGAUAUCAAAUUUAUCAAAUUGUUUGUAUAUUUUGAUGAUAGAAGAUUCGAAUUCCAUUCCAGUUUUUUUUAGAGUGGUUGAUAUUUGCUUCAAAAUUAUAUAUUUUACCUAGAUUUUUCUAGAGAAUCCUUAAUGGUUUGGUCUUAUUUUCACAAGCUCCAAACCUCUUUAACAUUUUCUAGUGUGUAUAUUUUAUGAGAG